This is a long non-coding RNA of Helianthus annuus (common sunflower), 9478 nucleotides long. RefSeq lists it as uncharacterized. The record is from RefSeq and is a predicted model, not a curated record. The transcript is spliced from 14 exons. Lineage: Eukaryota; Viridiplantae; Streptophyta; Magnoliopsida; Asterales; Asteraceae.
UUAUAUAUAUCUAUGGUUCCCAUUAAGUCUAACUACCUUUCAAAUGAAUCUCUACCAUUGGAUCUUGCUGAAAUCAAAUCCUGACCUUCUAAACUCACAAUAAUAACUGCUAUGGUAGCAGUUAACGGCAGUUUCUUACGGUUCCCCCUCUGACGGUUACCUCCACUUUUUUCUGCCCAUCAUCUCCACAACUCAACCUCCUACAAAACUAGGGUAGUGCUCACAAUUUCAGUUCGCCCGUUGGUUGUCUCAGGUCUCCUCCUCACCCAUAAAACUGUCACCCCAUCUCCACAAACCAACAUGCAAAAGUGGAGAGAUUAGAGGUCAUCUUCUCCUUCACACGCCGUAUGCACCUCACCCGUCGCCGUCGGUACAAUCAACGUCGUUCUAAAAGUUCAAGACGUGAUUUCAAAAGCAGAUGAUGGUCCCUCAGUCUUCAUCUACCUCUCCCUUUUGUCUGAAUCCCUCUCCUCUGAAUCAAUCGAAGGAAGUGUUGAAGAUUUCCAUAUCUGUCUUUCUGCCAAAGUCAAGUAUGUUGAAAGUGUAAAGGGUGAUGAAGAACAAUAAGGGGGCACUACAAGAACAGGCGCUUUUUGAAAUGCUACAGGCUCUAAGAGAAGCCGAGAUGCUGAACUUCAUAAUUUGUCUGAAAUACAUAAUUCCUCAAGUUUAGGCAGUCGGUAUUCUCUUAAUUAUUAGUGUUUACAUUUAGCAAUUUGUUAAUUUGUAUACAGUAGGUAGUCUUUGUUCAAUAUAGGCACUCAGAAGUUUGAUGAAUAAAGUUUCGGGUAAUUUAAAAAAUUCCGAAUGAUUAGGUUACAGGUCAGUUAUGCCUGACCUGUAUUUUCGUGGUUCUUUUUUAUCAUGUUACUUAACAAUGGUAUUAAAUAAUCUUCAUAACGUCUUAGCAGUUCGGUGAUUCCUUAAUUCAGGUUUAAUUUUUGCCGAAAUUUCUAUUUCUGUCAACGCAGAUUUACUAUUUGUUAUACUUUAGGUGUAACUGCAUUCAGGUUUUCCUUUUUAGUGAGUGACCAGCGAUUAAAACAUCUGAAGCUUGCUAUUCGACACAAGUUGUGUGUUAAUCAAGGGUUUCUACAAGUUCCGGUGUCGAACAUAGCUUCUGUACUUUGAUCAUAUUGUUUUGUUGUUAACAAUGGAAACCUCACUUAUAUGAAGUUAGACAGGAGUUGAAGCGUGGACCAUCUAUCAAAUAAGCUAUUUAUCAGCAACAUCAUGAAUGGAGCAAAGGCUGGCAUGUGCCAUUGAAUAAAGAUUUGAAUCUUCUGGUGGAUUUAUCAAGUCGCUCGCCUGUGACGUCGAUUGGACGAAUCACCCUUUGGUAAGCCAUGUGCAAUUCACAGGUCUUAUCUCAUCUCAUCUUACCUUUGUAUAUGUAAUGAUUUACUUUGAUCAUGGAUAUUUGAAUUUGAAUUUAGGUUAAUAUUUAUUUUCAGUUUUUUCAUCCAUGUGAUUCUCAAUGUUUCAGAAUGACCCAUUAGAGGCUAAAAAAAAAUGUUUUGCAGGCUUCUGGUGCAAUGAGAUCUCGUAGAGCUAGGGUUACUGAUAACAUAAGUAUCAUGUGUUUGUAGAUGACGUGAUACGUCCACAAACAACUAAGGCCAUGCCAAAUCAGCCCGAGUGCCAAUAAUUUUUGCUAUUACUAGGCUAUAGAUAGAUAAGGAAGGGGCUUUAGAUCGAGUAAUGCAAGUUAAGCAGGAGCUUUCUUAUAAUGGUUGUCAACUAGAAGAUUGGGGGUGGUGAUGUACCUAUGGUUCAGCAAGAAUGUUGAUGAUUUGUUAGAACUCACUAUGCGUGUUGCCGAGUUAGGUAAAGUUAUUUACUGACUAUUGCAUGUAAAUUAUUUAUUUACCUUUUUUUUUUGCUUGGGGGAGAAGAGAGGGUUACUUUCAACCCAUUUGGCCCGCUUCGCAACUAUGCGGGUCAAAUUUUAUCUAAGGUAUGUAGCACAUCUUUAAUAAUAUACAACUUUAAUUACUUGAGAUACAAGUCAAUAAAGGAGUUUGCUCAAGAUUUAGGAGCAAUGGAGUUGUUGCUCGUGUAAAGGUAUUUAAGUUUAACUUCAUUUAUAUGUAUAUAUUAUUUUGAGAUUCUACAUUUGUCUUCAGUUUUCUUGAUUAUUAGCUGCAAGAAUUAAAGGCUAAUCUCGAUAGAAAUGCAAAGGUUAUCGUAAUUGAAGCAGGUCUCAUCAAUCAAAAGGACCCGUAGCUACUUUAUUUUUGUGCAAAAUGACACACUUAAAAAGGGAGAUGUGGUUGUAUGUAGUGAAGUCUUUGGAAAGGUUAGUAAAAGAAACAAUAGUUAAUUCAACAAAAUACUAUUUUAAAAUUCUCGACUUUAAAACAUUUGCACUUUGAUUAGAUUCAUCUUUAUUUGAUGGCUCAAAAGCUAAGCUUUACAUUUUUAGGUCUGAGCUUUAUUUCAUGAUGCUGGAAAGCGGGUUUGAUGAUGUUGGGCUGGCAAUACCAGUACAAGUGAAUUUAGCUACAAUUAUUUGGUUCUUGUCUAUUACAACCCAUAAUAAAAAUUACACAUCCAACCCGACCCGUUUGACCCGCUUUAACCCAAAUCCAUUUGACCUGGCUCAACCCACCCAAUUUGACCCACUAGAAAUUGAUCUGUUCCCAAUUCGAUCCUGUUUGUGUUGUCAAAAUGAACUGUUGUAACCUAAAUCCAUUUGACCCUUGUCAACUUGAGCCCAUUUGACCUGUUUCAACCCAAACCUGUUUGACCUAUUCAAGAAUUAUAUAUAUCUAUGGUUCCCAUUAAGUCUAACUACCUUUCAAAUGAAUCUCUACCAUUGGAUCUUGCUGAAAUCAAAUCCUGACCUUCUAAACUCACAAUAAUAACUGCUAUGGUAGCAGUUAACGGCAGUUUCUUACGGUUCCCCCUCUGACGGUUACCUCCACUUUUUUCUGCCCAUCAUCUCCACAACUCAACCUCCUACAAAACUAGGGUAGUGCUCACAAUUUCAGUUCGCCCGUUGGUUGUCUCAGGUCUCCUCCUCACCCAUAAAACUGUCACCCCAUCUCCACAAACCAACAUGCAAAAGUGGAGAGAUUAGAGGUCAUCUUCUCCUUCACACGCCGUAUGCACCUCACCCGUCGCCGUCGGUACAAUCAACGUCGUUCUAAAAGUUCAAGACGUGAUUUCAAAAGCAGAUGAUGGUCCCUCAGUCUUCAUCUACCUCUCCCUUUUGUCUGAAUCCCUCUCCUCUGAAUCAAUCGAAGGAAGUGUUGAAGAUUUCCAUAUCUGUCUUUCUGCCAAAGUCAAGUAUGUUGAAAGUGUAAAGGGUGAUGAAGAACAAUAAGGGGGCACUACAAGAACAGGCGCUUUUUGAAAUGCUACAGGCUCUAAGAGAAGCCGAGAUGCUGAACUUCAUAAUUUGUCUGAAAUACAUAAUUCCUCAAGUUUAGGCAGUCGGUAUUCUCUUAAUUAUUAGUGUUUACAUUUAGCAAUUUGUUAAUUUGUAUACAGUAGGUAGUCUUUGUUCAAUAUAGGCACUCAGAAGUUUGAUGAAUAAAGUUUCGGGUAAUUUAAAAAAUUCCGAAUGAUUAGGUUACAGGUCAGUUAUGCCUGACCUGUAUUUUCGUGGUUCUUUUUUAUCAUGUUACUUAACAAUGGUAUUAAAUAAUCUUCAUAACGUCUUAGCAGUUCGGUGAUUCCUUAAUUCAGGUUUAAUUUUUGCCGAAAUUUCUAUUUCUGUCAACGCAGAUUUACUAUUUGUUAUACUUUAGGUGUAACUGCAUUCAGGUUUUCCUUUUUAGUGAGUGACCAGCGAUUAAAACAUCUGAAGCUUGCUAUUCGACACAAGUUGUGUGUUAAUCAAGGGUUUCUACAAGUUCCGGUGUCGAACAUAGCUUCUGUACUUUGAUCAUAUUGUUUUGUUGUUAACAAUGGAAACCUCACUUAUAUGAAGUUAGACAGGAGUUGAAGCGUGGACCAUCUAUCAAAUAAGCUAUUUAUCAGCAACAUCAUGAAUGGAGCAAAGGCUGGCAUGUGCCAUUGAAUAAAGAUUUGAAUCUUCUGGUGGAUUUAUCAAGUCGCUCGCCUGUGACGUCGAUUGGACGAAUCACCCUUUGGUAAGCCAUGUGCAAUUCACAGGUCUUAUCUCAUCUCAUCUUACCUUUGUAUAUGUAAUGAUUUACUUUGAUCAUGGAUAUUUGAAUUUGAAUUUAGGUUAAUAUUUAUUUUCAGUUUUUUCAUCCAUGUGAUUCUCAAUGUUUCAGAAUGACCCAUUAGAGGCUAAAAAAAAAUGUUUUGCAGGCUUCUGGUGCAAUGAGAUCUCGUAGAGCUAGGGUUACUGAUAACAUAAGUAUCAUGUGUUUGUAGAUGACGUGAUACGUCCACAAACAACUAAGGCCAUGCCAAAUCAGCCCGAGUGCCAAUAAUUUUUGCUAUUACUAGGAUAGAUAAGGAAGGGGCUUUAGAUCGAGUAAUGCAAGUUAAGCAGGAGCUUUCUUAUAAUGGUUGUCAACUAGAAGAUUGGGGGUGGUGAUGUACCUAUGGUUCAGGUGCAGGGCAAGAUCACUUAAGUUUUUUUAUUAUUUUUAAAAUACCCUUUACAUGAUUCAUAUCAUUGUCAAUGAAAACAAAAUUGUGUGCUCUUACCAGCAAGAAUGUUGAUGAUUUGUUAGAACUCACUAUGCGUGUUGCCGAGUUAGGUAAAGUUAUUUACUGACUAUUGCAUGUAAAUUAUUUAUUUACCUUUUUUUUUUGCUUGGGGGAGAAGAGAGGGUUACUUUCAACCCAUUUGGCCCGCUUCGCAACUAUGCGGGUCAAAUUUUAUCUAAGGUAUGUAGCACAUCUUUAAUAAUAUACAACUUUAAUUACUUGAGAUACAAGUCAAUAAAGGAGUUUGCUCAAGAUUUAGGAGCAAUGGAGUUGUUGCUCGUGUAAAGGUAUUUAAGUUUAACUUCAUUUAUAUGUAUAUAUUAUUUUGAGAUUCUACAUUUGUCUUCAGUUUUCUUGAUUAUUAGCUGCAAGAAUUAAAGGCUAAUCUCGAUAGAAAUGCAAAGGUUAUCGUAAUUGAAGCAGGUCUCAUCAAUCAAAAGGACCCGUAGCUACUUUAUUUUUGUGCAAAAUGACACACUUAAAAAGGGAGAUGUGGUUGUAUGUAGUGAAGUCUUUGGAAAGGUUAGUAAAAGAAACAAUAGUUAAUUCAACAAAAUACUAUUUUAAAAUUCUCGACUUUAAAACAUUUGCACUUUGAUUAGAUUCAUCUUUAUUUGAUGGCUCAAAAGCUAAGCUUUACAUUUUUAGGUCUGAGCUUUAUUUCAUGAUGCUGGAAAGCGGGUUUGAUGAUGUUGGGCUGGCAAUACCAGUACAAGUGAAUUUAGCUACAAUUAUUUGGUUCUUGUCUAUUACAACCCAUAAUAAAAAUUACACAUCCAACCCGACCCGUUUGACCCGCUUUAACCCAAAUCCAUUUGACCUGGCUCAACCCACCCAAUUUGACCCACUAGAAAUUGAUCUGUUCCCAAUUCGAUCCUGUUUGUGUUGUCAAAAUGAACUGUUGUAACCUAAAUCCAUUUGACCCUUGUCAACUUGAGCCCAUUUGACCUGUUUCAACCCAAACCUGUUUGACCUAUUCAAGAAUUAUAUAUAUCUAUGGUUCCCAUUAAGUCUAACUACCUUUCAAAUGAAUCUCUACCAUUGGAUCUUGCUGAAAUCAAAUCCUGACCUUCUAAACUCACAAUAAUAACUGCUAUGGUAGCAGUUAACGGCAGUUUCUUACGGUUCCCCCUCUGACGGUUACCUCCACUUUUUUCUGCCCAUCAUCUCCACAACUCAACCUCCUACAAAACUAGGGUAGUGCUCACAAUUUCAGUUCGCCCGUUGGUUGUCUCAGGUCUCCUCCUCACCCAUAAAACUGUCACCCCAUCUCCACAAACCAACAUGCAAAAGUGGAGAGAUUAGAGGUCAUCUUCUCCUUCACACGCCGUAUGCACCUCACCCGUCGCCGUCGGUACAAUCAACGUCGUUCUAAAAGUUCAAGACGUGAUUUCAAAAGCAGAUGAUGGUCCCUCAGUCUUCAUCUACCUCUCCCUUUUGUCUGAAUCCCUCUCCUCUGAAUCAAUCGAAGGAAGUGUUGAAGAUUUCCAUAUCUGUCUUUCUGCCAAAGUCAAGUAUGUUGAAAGUGUAAAGGGUGAUGAAGAACAAUAAGGGGGCACUACAAGAACAGGCGCUUUUUGAAAUGCUACAGGCUCUAAGAGAAGCCGAGAUGCUGAACUUCAUAAUUUGUCUGAAAUACAUAAUUCCUCAAGUUUAGGCAGUCGGUAUUCUCUUAAUUAUUAGUGUUUACAUUUAGCAAUUUGUUAAUUUGUAUACAGUAGGUAGUCUUUGUUCAAUAUAGGCACUCAGAAGUUUGAUGAAUAAAGUUUCGGGUAAUUUAAAAAAUUCCGAAUGAUUAGGUUACAGGUCAGUUAUGCCUGACCUGUAUUUUCGUGGUUCUUUUUUAUCAUGUUACUUAACAAUGGUAUUAAAUAAUCUUCAUAACGUCUUAGCAGUUCGGUGAUUCCUUAAUUCAGGUUUAAUUUUUGCCGAAAUUUCUAUUUCUGUCAACGCAGAUUUACUAUUUGUUAUACUUUAGGUGUAACUGCAUUCAGGUUUUCCUUUUUAGUGAGUGACCAGCGAUUAAAACAUCUGAAGCUUGCUAUUCGACACAAGUUGUGUGUUAAUCAAGGGUUUCUACAAGUUCCGGUGUCGAACAUAGCUUCUGUACUUUGAUCAUAUUGUUUUGUUGUUAACAAUGGAAACCUCACUUAUAUGAAGUUAGACAGGAGUUGAAGCGUGGACCAUCUAUCAAAUAAGCUAUUUAUCAGCAACAUCAUGAAUGGAGCAAAGGCUGGCAUGUGCCAUUGAAUAAAGAUUUGAAUCUUCUGGUGGAUUUAUCAAGUCGCUCGCCUGUGACGUCGAUUGGACGAAUCACCCUUUGGUAAGCCAUGUGCAAUUCACAGGUCUUAUCUCAUCUCAUCUUACCUUUGUAUAUGUAAUGAUUUACUUUGAUCAUGGAUAUUUGAAUUUGAAUUUAGGUUAAUAUUUAUUUUCAGUUUUUUCAUCCAUGUGAUUCUCAAUGUUUCAGAAUGACCCAUUAGAGGCUAAAAAAAAAUGUUUUGCAGGCUUCUGGUGCAAUGAGAUCUCGUAGAGCUAGGGUUACUGAUAACAUAAGUAUCAUGUGUUUGUAGAUGACGUGAUACGUCCACAAACAACUAAGGCCAUGCCAAAUCAGCCCGAGUGCCAAUAAUUUUUGCUAUUACUAGGAUAGAUAAGGAAGGGGCUUUAGAUCGAGUAAUGCAAGUUAAGCAGGAGCUUUCUUAUAAUGGUUGUCAACUAGAAGAUUGGGGGUGGUGAUGUACCUAUGGUUCAGGUGCAGGGCAAGAUCACUUAAGUUUUUUUAUUAUUUUUAAAAUACCCUUUACAUGAUUCAUAUCAUUGUCAAUGAAAACAAAAUUGUGUGCUCUUACCAGCAAGAAUGUUGAUGAUUUGUUAGAACUCACUAUGCGUGUUGCCGAGUUAGGUAAAGUUAUUUACUGACUAUUGCAUGUAAAUUAUUUAUUUACCUUUUUUUUUUGCUUGGGGGAGAAGAGAGGGUUACUUUCAACCCAUUUGGCCCGCUUCGCAACUAUGCGGGUCAAAUUUUAUCUAAGGUAUGUAGCACAUCUUUAAUAAUAUACAACUUUAAUUACUUGAGAUACAAGUCAAUAAAGGAGUUUGCUCAAGAUUUAGGAGCAAUGGAGUUGUUGCUCGUGUAAAGGUAUUUAAGUUUAACUUCAUUUAUAUGUAUAUAUUAUUUUGAGAUUCUACAUUUGUCUUCAGUUUUCUUGAUUAUUAGCUGCAAGAAUUAAAGGCUAAUCUCGAUAGAAAUGCAAAGGUUAUCGUAAUUGAAGCAGGUCUCAUCAAUCAAAAGGACCCGUAGCUACUUUAUUUUUGUGCAAAAUGACACACUUAAAAAGGGAGAUGUGGUUGUAUGUAGUGAAGUCUUUGGAAAGGUUAGUAAAAGAAACAAUAGUUAAUUCAACAAAAUACUAUUUUAAAAUUCUCGACUUUAAAACAUUUGCACUUUGAUUAGAUUCAUCUUUAUUUGAUGGCUCAAAAGCUAAGCUUUACAUUUUUAGGUCUGAGCUUUAUUUCAUGAUGCUGGAAAGCGGGUUUGAUGAUGUUGGGCUGGCAAUACCAGUACAAGUGAAUUUAGCUACAAUUAUUUGGUUCUUGUCUAUUACAACCCAUAAUAAAAAUUACACAUCCAACCCGACCCGUUUGACCCGCUUUAACCCAAAUCCAUUUGACCUGGCUCAACCCACCCAAUUUGACCCACUAGAAAUUGAUCUGUUCCCAAUUCGAUCCUGUUUGUGUUGUCAAAAUGAACUGUUGUAACCUAAAUCCAUUUGACCCUUGUCAACUUGAGCCCAUUUGACCUGUUUCAACCCAAACCUGUUUGACCUAUUCAAGAAUUGACCCGUUUAAACCCGACUCUAUUAGACUCAUUCAUGAUUUAGAUAAUGAUUCAUUUCAACCCGAAUCUUUCUUAGCUAGAAAAGAUUACCUUUUUCAACUUGAAACACCUCUGACCCUGUGUAGAAAUGCAUACUUUGCAGGUGAUCGGAUUAAACAGUGCCCCAUUUGCGGUGACGAAUUUAAGGUAGUUGACUCACUUGAUAUUGCACGAGAAAGGGCAAAAGAACGGGCAAUAUCAUCAUGUGAUGUACGUAUACUAGCUAAAGCUGGAAUGGUAGAAUUACGCUUUUGUCCUUCGCUUCUGCUGUUACAACGGGCAUGAAUUCAAGAGCAACUGCUUUGUUUAUGUCCAUCGGGUCGAGCAACAUGUCAAAACAUGUUAGGGCUAAAAUGGGCAUUUCUUCUGUACAUCCUGAAAUGGGUUGGGUUGGUUUGACUCAAACAUGCUCUUUGCAUUAUUUUUAUUUAAGAAAUAGGUAUAGUGCCAAAUAUGAUCAUAAAACUAAAUUAAUUCAGCAAUAAUCUAAUUUUAUUGAAUCGUAGGUUUUAUUUAUUUCAAAUGACACUUUGGUGGACUUUUGAAUCUUUCACCCAUAUGAACAUUCUUUUUUAGACUAUUUUAAUUAUUUUUCCUUUCAGAGAUAAGCAUAAUCCUAUUUAACAUUUCACCCUAUUUCUAAACUUAAGUAAACGGGUCCAUUGUUGCCUUAUGAUUAUAGAUGAUUGUUGAGUGAAGACCUUUCUCUUAUUCUCUUUUUGAAUGAGCAGGAUAGACUUUUAGCCAUUUUCUAGAUCAGCAUCCUAUUGUACUUCAUAUUGGUGGGAAUAACUUGGAAAUUCUAGCAAAGCAACUCAACUAGCAAAAGGUUACGGUAAUAACAAGCUCAACUUGAACUAUGUUUACUUUUACAAGAUAUGUUUGUUCAAUAUUAUAUUAUUUGAUACGAGGAAACUUAUGGGUGUUUACAUGCUUUCAAUAUUAUGAAUGGAUGUUUAUUUAAUU